CGAACGGAAAGGCCUGCAGCUUGCUGCGGGUACUCGAGUGGCGAACGGGUGAGUAACACGUGGGUGAUCUGCCUUGCACUUCGGGAUAAGCUUGGGAAACUGGGUCUAAUACCGGAUAGGACAGCUGUUUAGUGUCAGUUGUGGAAAGUUUUUUCGGUGCAAGAUGAGCUCGCGGCCUAUCAGCUUGUUGGUGGGGUAAUGGCCUACCAAGGCGUCGACGGGUAGCCGGCCUGAGAGGGUGUACGGCCACAUUGGGACUGAGAUACGGCCCAGACUCCUACGGGAGGCAGCAGUGGGGAAUAUUGCACAAUGGGCGGAAGCCUGAUGCAGCGACGCCGCGUGGGGGAUGAAGGCCUUCGGGUUGUAAACUCCUUUCGACAGGGACGAAGCGUAAGUGACGGUACCUGUAUAAGAAGCACCGGCUAACUACGUGCCAGCAGCCGCGGUAAUACGUAGGGUGCGAGCGUUGUCCGGAAUUACUGGGCGUAAAGAGCUCGUAGGUGGUUUGUCGCGUCGUCUGUGAAAUUCCGGGGCUUAACUCCGGGCGUGCAGGCGAUACGGGCUGACUUGAGUGCUGUAGGGGAGACUGGAAUUCCUGGUGUAGCGGUGAAAUGCGCAGAUAUCAGGAGGAACACCGAUGGCGAAGGCAGGUCUCUGGGCAGUAACUGACGCUGAGGAGCGAAAGCAUGGGUAGCGAACAGGAUUAGAUACCCUGGUAGUCCAUGCCGUAAACGGUGGGCGCUAGGUGUAGGGGGCUUCCACGUCUUCUGUGCCGUAGCUAACGCAUUUAAGCGCCCCGCCUGGGGAGUACUGCCGCA
Molecule: ribosomal RNA, 818 nt
Filed under: uncultured Actinomycetes bacterium
Lineage: Bacteria; Bacillati; Actinomycetota; Actinomycetes
Description: bacterial SSU rRNA
Rfam family: Bacterial small subunit ribosomal RNA
Source: RNAcentral